This 443-nucleotide ribosomal RNA is filed under the name uncultured bacterium. RNAcentral describes it as "partial 16S ribosomal RNA". It matches the Rfam family "Bacterial small subunit ribosomal RNA", at positions 338 to 795 of the family's 1533-position model. The record is from RNAcentral.
CCUACGGGUGGCAGCAGUGGGGAAUAUUGGGCAAUGGGCGCAAGCCUGACCCAGCAACGCCGCGUGAAGGAAGAAGGCUCUCGGGUUGUAAACUUCCUUUCUUAGGGACGAAGCAAGUGACGGUACCUGAGGAAUAAGCGACGGCUAACUACGUGCAAGCAGUCGCGGCAAUACGUCGGUGGCAAGCGUUAUCCGGAUUUACUGGGUGUAAGGGGCGUGUAGGCGGGACUGCAAGUCAGAUGUGAAAACCACGGGCUCAACCUGUGGCCUGCAUUUGACACUGUAGUUCUUGAGUACUGGAGAGGCAGACGGAAUUCCUGGUGUAGCGGUGAAAUGCGUAGAUAUUAGGAAGAACACCAGUGGCGAAGGCAGUCUGCUGGACAGCAACUGACGCUGAGGCGCGAAAGCGUGGGGAGCAAACAGGAUUAGAUACCCUUGUAGUC